CUUUUUUGGUUAGUGGCGCACGGGUGAGUAAUAUAUAGCUAACCUGCCCUUUAGUGGGGGACAACAGUUGGAAACGACUGCUAAUACCCCAUACUCCUUUAUACCUUAUGGUGUAUCGGGAAAGAUUUAUCGCUAAAGGAUGGGGCUUUAUGGUAUCAGAUAGUUGGUGGGGUAAUGGCCUACCAAGUCUAUGACGCCUAGCUGGUCUGAGAGGAUGAUCAGCCACACUGGAACUGAGACACGGUCCAGACUCC
Molecule: ribosomal RNA, 254 nt
Filed under: uncultured bacterium
Lineage: Bacteria
Description: partial 16S ribosomal RNA
Rfam family: Bacterial small subunit ribosomal RNA
Source: RNAcentral